AAGGCAAGCCACCACACUUAUUUACAAUUUUUUUACCAAUGAUCUCCAAAUUUGAAUGUGCUUCAACACUUCUAUUCUCAAAUGCAUGUCUGGCAAAAACUAACCAACAAUCAUCAUCAGAAAUUUGUUUCAACUCAUGACAUUCAACAGUUCCCAUCAUUUCUGCAAUAUCCCUAUCACGCGUUGUCACAAUUACAUUACUUCCUGGUGCUCCAGCCAUAAAUGGAAUGCGCAGGACAUUCCAGUCACUGUACUUCUUAUUCCAGACAUCAUCUAAAACAAUUAGAAACCUUUUUCCUGAUAAUUCAUUAUUCAAUUUGAGCUGAACUUGAUUCAACUCCUUUAGAUCACAGGGCUCCAAAGUGAUGGACUCAAGAAUACCCUUUGUUAUUCUCAUAAUGUCAAAGUCAUCGGACACACAAACCCAUGCUUUUGGAUGGAAUUUUUGCAAUUCUUUGUCAUGGUAUACAAGCCUGGCCAGUGUCGUUUUACCGACCCCACCCAUGCCAACAAUGGGUAUGAUGCUAACUUUUGCCUCACUUGCUUCACCCAUUGAAAGCAACUGAAGUAUCUUCCUCUUAUCUUCAUCUCUACCAUACACUUGAG
RNAcentral lists this unclassified non-coding RNA (606 nucleotides) under Hevea brasiliensis (rubber tree). The record is from RNAcentral. Lineage: Eukaryota; Viridiplantae; Streptophyta; Magnoliopsida; Malpighiales; Euphorbiaceae.